Molecule: ribosomal RNA, 770 nt
Filed under: Salmonella enterica
Lineage: Bacteria; Pseudomonadati; Pseudomonadota; Gammaproteobacteria; Enterobacterales; Enterobacteriaceae
Also listed under: 1 other name
Description: partial 23S ribosomal RNA
Rfam family: Bacterial large subunit ribosomal RNA
Source: RNAcentral
GUGGACGCCAGUCUGCAUGGAGCCGACCUUGAAAUACCACCCUUUAAUGUUUGAUGUUCUAACGUGGACCCGUGAUCCGGGUUGCGGACAGUGUCUGGUGGGUAGUUUGACUGGGGCGGUCUCCUCCUAAAGAGUAACGGAGGAGCACGAAGGUUGGCUAAUCCUGGUCGGACAUCAGGAGGUUAGUGCAAUGGCAUAAGCCAGCUUGACUGCGAGCGUGACGGCGCGAGCAGGUGCGAAAGCAGGUCAUAGUGAUCCGGUGGUUCUGAAUGGAAGGGCCAUCGCUCAACGGAUAAAAGGUACUCCGGGGAUAACAGGCUGAUACCGCCCAAGAGUUCAUAUCGACGGCGGUGUUUGGCACCUCGAUGUCGGCUCAUCACAUCCUGGGGCUGAAGUAGGUCCCAAGGGUAUGGCUGUUCGCCAUUUAAAGUGGUACGCGAGCUGGGUUUAGAACGUCGUGAGACAGUUCGGUCCCUAUCUGCCGUGGGCGCUGGAGAACUGAGGGGGGCUGCUCCUAGUACGAGAGGACCGGAGUGGACGCAUCACUGGUGUUCGGGUUGUCAUGCCAAUGGCACUGCCCGGUAGCUAAAUGCGGAAGAGAUAAGUGCUGAAAGCAUCUAAGCACGAAACUUGCCCCGAGAUGAGUUCUCCCUGAGACUUUAGGUCUCCUGAAGGAACGUUGAAGACGACGACGUUGAUAGGCCGGGUGUGUAAGCGCAGCGAUGCGUUGAGCUAACCGGUACUAAUGAACCGUGAGGCUUAACCUUACA